Clostridiales bacterium CHKCI006 is the source of this 97-nucleotide non-coding RNA. Lineage: Bacteria; Bacillati; Bacillota; Clostridia; Eubacteriales. The record is from Rfam.
CAGAGCCGUAUACUCCGAGAGGGGUACGUACGGUUCCCGGAGAGGGUGGCGCAGACCUACCACAGCAAUGUGGCAAGGCGGUGCUUCCCUACUCCAC